Molecule: long non-coding RNA, 868 nt
Organism: Chinchilla lanigera (long-tailed chinchilla)
Lineage: Eukaryota; Metazoa; Chordata; Mammalia; Rodentia; Chinchillidae
Source: Ensembl
ACCAAUCCUUUAAAUAUCAGUUUUCAAAAUCUUUUCAUAUUCUUUACUUAUUGUUAUCUGGCUCCAGGACAUACCACUCCAAUAAGUGAUUUGAAAUGCCAAAUGCCAAUGAUGACCUGACAGUCAGCCCUCUGUACACAUUUUUAGUGGUCUAAGCUCAAGUCUGCUCUCUGCAACAAACAUUUUACAUCCCGCUGUUAGUCAUUCCAAUCCUAGCUUCUUCAAUGAACAGAAACCAUAGAAAGCAAAACCAGAACUCCUUUCAGCUCAGGCACAUAGAAACUGGACCUCUUCUAGCCUUCUCCUCAAAGCAAGCCAUCAAGCCUGGAAACGUCUGAUCCAGCUUCCCGGAAAGCAAGUCAUAAAACGGUCCAUUUAGUGAGCUCUUGAUCCAUUUGUGGGGGAGGUACUCCCCAUAGAGAGACCAUGCAAAAUCUAAACUGACCUCUCUAUCCAGUGAUGGUUCUCCAUAACUAUCCAUUUUUUCAUCAGCUCCACAGACAAAUUGUUUCAUUUUUGAAAGGACUAUUGUCAUUGAAACGUUGAUUAAUGCUAUGUUUUUCUUUUGUCAAUCUGUCUUUUAUUUUAAGAGUGUCAAUCAGGGCCCUUUAAUCUGUAUUUUUUCUUUUUUUUGUCCUAUGAAGAAUUACUGAGGAAUCAAUUCAGAAAGGUUUGCUGAAAAUGAUCACAAAAGAGACAAAGCUUCCUCAAAGGCUUAGAUAAAAGAAAUCAUUGUAUAUUUGUAGAGGUCUAUUGCUCUGUUAAAGAAAACAUCAAUUCAUUAAAAGUUUCUUCAUGUUCUUAGUUUUAAAUUACAUGCAGAAGUUAUUUUAUGAUGAGAAUAAAAUAAUAAAAUGUUUUAUGUUAU